This 198-nucleotide ribosomal RNA is filed under the name uncultured bacterium. Its description in RNAcentral is "partial 16S ribosomal RNA". It matches the Rfam family "Bacterial small subunit ribosomal RNA", at positions 328 to 538 of the family's 1533-position model. The record is from RNAcentral.
ACGCUCGACACCUACGGAGGCAGCAGUGGGGGAUAUUGCACAAUGGGGGAAACCCUGAUGCAGCAACGCCGCGUGAAGGAAGAAGGUCUUCGGAUUGUAAACUUCUGUCCUCAGGGAAGAUAAUGACGGUACCUGAGGAGGAAGCUCCGGCUAACUACGUGUCAGCAGCCGCGGUAAUCUGAGCGGGCGUGGCAAGGC